UACGGAGGGGGUUAGCGUUGUUCGGAAUUACUGGGCGUAAAGCGCGCGUAGGCGGAUUGGAAAGUUGGGGGUGAAAUCCCGAGGCUCAACCUCGGAACUGCCUUCAAAACUCCCAGUCUAGAGUUCGAGAGAGGUGAGUGGAAUUCCAAGUGUAGAGGUGAAAUUCGUAGAUAUUUGGAGGAACACCAGUGGCGAAGGCGGCUCACUGGCUCGAUACUGACGCUGAGGUGCGAAAGUGUGGGGAGCAAACAGG
Molecule: ribosomal RNA, 253 nt
Filed under: uncultured bacterium
Lineage: Bacteria
Description: partial 16S ribosomal RNA
Rfam family: Bacterial small subunit ribosomal RNA
Source: RNAcentral